CUUUAAUUCUAUACCUGGCUAUCAUGCUCCAAAAUUGCAACAAAAUGAAGUGAGGGUGAGUGAGACCAAAGUCCCAGUGAAUGGAUAAUCCAUCUAACAAUGAAAAAAUAAGAAAAAUUAUUUAUGAUGCUCAUAAUAACAUACAUCAUAUACUACUGAUAUGCUUUCAAAUCUUUUGUAUGCUAAAUAAGAAUAAACCAUAUAAAAGAUCAUUUUAAAGAAAAAUAACUAGCUACC
Molecule: long non-coding RNA, 237 nt
Filed under: Elaeis guineensis (African oil palm)
Lineage: Eukaryota; Viridiplantae; Streptophyta; Magnoliopsida; Arecales; Arecaceae
Description: long non-coding RNA (EGUI_LNC035566)
Source: RNAcentral